RNAcentral lists this ribosomal RNA (438 nucleotides) under uncultured bacterium. RNAcentral's name for it is "bacterial SSU rRNA". It matches the Rfam family "Bacterial small subunit ribosomal RNA", at positions 954 to 1396 of the family's 1533-position model. The record is from RNAcentral.
GAUUAACGCGAAGAACCUUACCUACCCUUGACAUGGUCGGAAUCCCGCUGAGAGGUGGGAGUGCUCGAAAGAGAACCGGCGCACAGGUGCUGCAUGGCUGUCGUCAGCUCGUGUCGUGGGAUGUUGGGUUAAGUCCCGCAACGAGCGCAACCCUUGUCCUUAGUUGCUACGCAAGAGCACUCUAAGGAGACUGCCGGUGACAAACCGGAGGAAGGUGGGGAUGACGUCAAGUCCUCAUGGCCCUUAUGGGUAGGGCUUCACACGUCAUGCAAUGGUCGGAACAGAGGGUUGCCAACCCGCGAGGGGGAGCUAAUCCCAGAAAACCGAUCGUAGUCCGGAUUGCACUCUGCAACUUGAGUGCAUGAAGCUGGAAUCGCUAGUAAUCGCGGAUCAGCAUGCCGCGGUGAAUACGUUCCCGGGCCUUGUACACACCGAAUC